GAUGUUCAUUGUGGUAGCCAUCUUCGCUCUGUGCUGGCUGCCGUACCAGACAUACAACAUCCUCAACGAGAUUUACCCGGAAAUUAACUCAUAUCGUUACAUCAAUGUCAUCUGGUUCUGCUGCCACUGGCUGGCCAUGAGCAACUCCUGCUACAAUCCAUUCAUCUACGCCAUCUACAGCGAGAAAUUCAACGCAGAGUUCCAGGCUCGCAUCCGGUGCUGCGCUCGACGGCCUCACGAGGAGAUUGUCUACGGACAUUCAUCCAUUAUGACUCAGUUGUCAGUGCGACUGCAGUCCUGAAACGUGCGAAAAAACACCGCGGUCGUUCUUGGGGGCCUAUGAUCUAGCUGCACCGCCGAUGAAAACGAGCUUCGAUGUCGCGUAUGCGCAGAGCAAUCGCAGUUGAUGACAAAGUCACAUGCCGCAGGAAUGCGGGACGUUGGUCAGGUUGGGUUCUGUCUUUUUAAAAAUUCCUGACGCAGCAGAACUGUAACCUAAGAUGUAAUUUUGAUGACGAACGACCAAAACUUGCCCUGUAUUAUCUGUAGAAGCAAAGCACUGUAAACGCUCACAGAAGAUGCUAUGAGUGCAUGAGCAAGUUGACCUGUUUACAUCAUCGUCUGAUACUUUUUUCUUUUUCUCGGCACUCUUGCCUAUUUGGGUCCCAUAGCAUAACUAUACUAUUCCAAAAAAUAAACGUUUUAUGCAGUAGUCUAAGAAGGAUGCUGUGCCAUUCCUACCAACAGGCCACGCUGCGUUGCCUGGAAUCAGUAAUGCAAAGCCUCGACGAAUUGUUAGCUUGACACAGUAAUUUGAAAACUCAUAUA
This is a long non-coding RNA of Dermacentor silvarum, 828 nucleotides long. RefSeq lists it as uncharacterized. The record is from RefSeq and is a predicted model, not a curated record. The transcript is spliced from 3 exons. Lineage: Eukaryota; Metazoa; Arthropoda; Arachnida; Ixodida; Ixodidae.